Molecule: ribosomal RNA, 301 nt
Filed under: uncultured bacterium
Lineage: Bacteria
Description: partial 16S ribosomal RNA
Rfam family: Bacterial small subunit ribosomal RNA
Source: RNAcentral
CAGCCGCCGCGGUAAAACGAAGGUCCCGAGCGUUGUUCGGAAUCACUGGGCGUAAAGGGAGCGUAGGCGGCGUGGUAAGUCAGAUGUGAAAUCCCGGGGCUCAACCCCGGAACUGCAUCCGAUACUGCCAUGCUAGAGGAUUGGAGAGGUAGCUGGAAUUCUUGGUGUAGCAGUGAAAUGCGCGGAGAUCAAGAGGAACACUCGUGGCGAAAGCGAGCUACUGGACAAUAACUGACGCUGAGGCUCGAAGGCCAGGGUAGCGAAAGGGAUUAGAUACCCCUGUAGUCCCUGUCUCUUAUAC